Molecule: ribosomal RNA, 203 nt
Filed under: uncultured bacterium
Lineage: Bacteria
Description: partial 16S ribosomal RNA
Rfam family: Bacterial small subunit ribosomal RNA
Source: RNAcentral
UACAGAGGGUGCGAGCGUUGUUCGGAAUUAUUGGGCGUAAAGGGCGCGUAGGCGGUGCGGUAAGUCACCUGUGAAAUCUCCUGGCUCAACUGGGAGCUUGCAGGCGAAACUGCCGUGCUGGAGUGUGGGAGAGGUGAGUGGAAUUCCCGGUGUAGCGGUGAAAUGCGUAGAUAUCGUAAGGAAGACCAGUGGCGAAGGCGGGU